RNAcentral lists this ribosomal RNA (370 nucleotides) under uncultured bacterium. Its description in RNAcentral is "bacterial SSU rRNA". It matches the Rfam family "Bacterial small subunit ribosomal RNA", at positions 527 to 896 of the family's 1533-position model. The record is from RNAcentral.
GUAGGGAGCAAGCGUUGUCCGGAUUUACUGGGCGUAAAGGGUGCGUAGGCGGCUUUGCAAGUCAGAUGUGAAAUCUAUGGGCUCAACCCAUAAACUGCAUUUGAAACUGUAGAGCUUGAGUGAAGUAGAGGCAGGCGGAAUUCCCCGUGUAGCGGUGAAAUGCGUAGAGAUGGGGAGGAACACCAGUGGCGAAGGCGGCCUGCUGGGCUUUAACUGACGCUGAGGCACGAAAGCGUGGGUAGCAAACAGGAUUAGAUACCCUGGUAGUCCACGCUGUAAACGAUGAUUACUAGGUGUGGGGGGUCUGACCCCUUCCGUGCCGGAGUUAACACAAUAAGUAAUCCACCUGGGGAGUACGGCCGCAAGGUUG